GCCUGGCUGGCUCAGUCGGUAGAGCAUGUGAUUCUUGAUCUCAGAGUUGUGAGUUCAAGCCCCAUGUUGGGUG
RNAcentral lists this transfer RNA (73 nucleotides) under Felis catus (domestic cat). It matches the Rfam family "tRNA". From Rfam's summary of the family: Transfer RNA (tRNA) molecules are approximately 80 nucleotides in length. Their secondary structure includes four short double-helical elements and three loops (D, anti-codon, and T loops). Lineage: Eukaryota; Metazoa; Chordata; Mammalia; Carnivora; Felidae. RNAcentral also lists the same sequence under 2 other names. The record is from Rfam by way of RNAcentral.